UGGGGAAUAUUGCACAAUGGGCGAAAGCCUGAUGCAGCAACGCCGCGUGAGUGAUGAAGGCCUUCGGGUUGUAAAGCUCUGUCUUUUGGGACGAUAAUGACGGUACCAAAGGAGGAAGCCACGGCUAACUACGUGCCAGCAGCCGCGGUAAUACGUAGGUGGCAAGCGUUGUCCGGAUUUACUGGGCGUAAAGGAUGCGUAGGCGGAUUUUAAGUGAGAUGUGAAAUACCCGGGCUUAACUUGGGUGCUGCAUUUCAAACUGGGAAUCUAGAGUGCGGGAGAGGAGAAUGGAAUUCCUAGUGUAGCGGUGAAAUGCGUAGAGAUUAGGAAGAACACCAGUGGCGAAGGCGAUUCUCUGGACCGUAACUGACGCUGAGGCAUGAAAGCGUGGGUAGCAAACAGGAUUAGAUACCCUGGUAGUCCACGCCGUAAACGAUGAGUACUAGGUGUAGGAGGUAUCGACCCCUUCUGUGCCGCAGUUAACACAAUAAGUACUCCGCCUGGGAAGUACGAUCGCAAGAUUAAAACUCAAAGGAAUUGAC
RNAcentral lists this ribosomal RNA (542 nucleotides) under uncultured bacterium. RNAcentral describes it as "partial 16S ribosomal RNA". It matches the Rfam family "Bacterial small subunit ribosomal RNA", at positions 355 to 914 of the family's 1533-position model. The record is from RNAcentral.